Non-coding RNA from Marasmius tenuissimus, 95 nucleotides. The record is from the annotation of a GenBank genome assembly. NCBI's taxonomy places the organism in Eukaryota, Fungi, Basidiomycota, Agaricomycetes, Agaricales, Marasmiaceae.
UCCGUUAUGGUGUAGUGGCUAACAUUAUCGCCUCUCAUUCCAAUGGCCCUCUUUAUAGAGCGCGAUAGCCCAGGGUUCGAUUCCCUGUAACGGAA